GGGCGGAUUGGUUUGAGGAGGCAGUCUCUGUGUUGGCCCCUUCGGCUUUUGAGCUUUGAGCCCUCUCCUCUUCUUCUUCCUCUCUUCAUUCCUCCUACUUUCCCUAUCACUUUCGGAAUUCGACUAUUUCGGUCCGGUUGUUGAUCGAUUGUUGAAGGUUCAAAAUCUGUAAUCAUCCAGGUUUCCAGUUUUUUAAUUUUCCA
This is a long non-coding RNA of Cucurbita moschata (crookneck pumpkin), 203 nucleotides long. RefSeq lists it as uncharacterized. The record is from RefSeq and is a predicted model, not a curated record. NCBI's taxonomy places the organism in Eukaryota, Viridiplantae, Streptophyta, Magnoliopsida, Cucurbitales, Cucurbitaceae. The transcript has 3 exons.